UACGAAGGGGGCUAGCGUUGUUCGGAAUCACUGGGCGUAAAGCGCACGUAGGCGGGCUGUUAAGUCGGAGGUGAAAUCCCAGGGCUCAACCCUGGAACUGCCUUCGAUACUGGCAGCCUAGAGUAUGGGAGAGGAUGGUGGAACUCCGAGUGUAGAGGUGAAAUUCGUAGAUAUUCGGAAGAACACCAGUGGCGAAGGCGGCCAUCUGGCCCAUUACUGACGCUGAGGUGCGAAAGCGUGGGGAGCAAACAGG
This 253-nucleotide ribosomal RNA is filed under the name uncultured bacterium. RNAcentral's name for it is "partial 16S ribosomal RNA". It matches the Rfam family "Bacterial small subunit ribosomal RNA", at positions 524 to 776 of the family's 1533-position model. The record is from RNAcentral.